This 474-nucleotide ribosomal RNA is filed under the name Metridia venusta. RNAcentral's name for it is "partial 12S ribosomal RNA". Lineage: Eukaryota; Metazoa; Arthropoda; Copepoda; Calanoida; Metridinidae. The record is from RNAcentral.
CUUAUUAACCAUCCUUAUAAGCUUCUUAAAAAUUUAUUUUUGGCUGUUAAAUUUUUUKGUUUAAAUAUAUACUUUGACCUUAAAAAUAUUAAUAUAUUUAACUGUUUAUAAAAACAGGAGUUAGACGUCCUUUAUUUUUCAUGUUAAUAAAAAUAGGUAUUAAUGAAAUUUUCCUAAACCUAAACAAAGUGGCAGUAAUUUACCCUAAACAGAGAAACUUGGGCCUUAAAUAGAUACUCCUCUUUUUAUCUUACCUUAAUUUCUUUUUUGUGUGACUGUUAUAAAAAAACAUUUUAUGUUACUUUAAGCUCAAGUUUUAUAAAAAUAAAUAAAGGGUUACUUUAGUUACAUUAACUUAAUUAUUAUAAACAGUUAGAAAUAUUUUACUAUUGAAUUUGUCCGUAAGUGUUAUUAUAAGAUAUUACGUUGGAUUAGUUAUGAAUUAAGUACAUAUUGUCCGCCGCUCUCAUUAAA